UACGUAGGGGGCAAGCGUUGUCCGGAAUUAUUGGGCGUAAAGCGCGCGCAGGCGGCUUGUUAAGUCAGGUGUUUAACCCUCGGGCUCAACCCGGGGUCGCACUUGAAACUGGGAGGCUGGAGUGCAGGAGAGGGAAGCGGAAUUCCACGUGUAGCGGUGAAAUGCGUAGAUAUGUGGAGGAACACCAGUGGCGAAGGCGGCUUCCUGGCCUGUAACUGACGCUGAGGCGCGAAAGCGUGGGGAGCAAACA
This 250-nucleotide ribosomal RNA is filed under the name uncultured bacterium. Its description in RNAcentral is "partial 16S ribosomal RNA". It matches the Rfam family "Bacterial small subunit ribosomal RNA", at positions 524 to 774 of the family's 1533-position model. The record is from RNAcentral.